Molecule: unclassified non-coding RNA, 354 nt
Filed under: soil metagenome
Description: partial contains 5.8S ribosomal RNA, internal transcribed spacer 2, and large subunit ribosomal RNA
Rfam family: 5.8S ribosomal RNA (bases 1-119)
Source: RNAcentral
GAUGAAGAACGUAGCGAAAUGCGAUAAGUAAUGCGAAUUGCAGAAUCCGUGAGUCAUCGAAUCUUUGAACGCACAUUGCGCCCAUUAGUAUUCUAGUGGGCAUGCCUGUUCGAGCGUCAUUAAGUCCACUUAAGCCCUGCUUAGUGUUGGGAGACUGCUCCAGCGGUGCUACCCUGUAGCUACCCUGCAGCUCCUCAAAGACAGCGGCGGAGUUGUGGUAUCCUCUGAGCUUAGUAACUUGUUCUAGCUUUCGAGUACACCACUUCCCCUGCCGUAAAACCCUUAAUUUUUAAUGGUUGACCUCGGAUCAGGUAGGAAUACCCGCUGAACUUAAGCAUAUCAAUAAGCGGAGGA